UUCCAGACUCCUACGGGAGGCAGCAGUGAGGAAUAUUGGUCAAUGGGCGGGAGCCUGAACCAGCCAAGUCGCGUGAGGGAAGACGGUCCUACGGAUUGUAAACCUCUUUUGCCGGGGAGCAACGGGGUCCUUGCGAGGGCCCGAUGAGAGUACCCGGAGAAAAAGCAUCGGCUAACUCCGUGCCAGCAGCCGCGGUAAUACGGAGGAUGCGAGCGUUAUCCGGAUUUAUUGGGUUUAAAGGGUGCGUAGGCGGCGCUUCAGGUCAGCGGUGAAAUACCGGGGCUCAACCCCGGGGCUGCCGUUGAAACCGGAGCGCUAGAAUUCCGAUGCCGUCGGAGGAAUGUGUGGUGUAGCGGUGAAAUGCAUAGAUAUCACACAGAACACCGAUUGCGAAGGCAUCUGACGAAUCGGAGAUUGACGCUGAUGCACGAAAGCGUGGGUAUCGAACAGGAUUAGAUACCCGAGUA
RNAcentral lists this ribosomal RNA (467 nucleotides) under uncultured bacterium. RNAcentral describes it as "bacterial SSU rRNA". It matches the Rfam family "Bacterial small subunit ribosomal RNA", at positions 329 to 792 of the family's 1533-position model. The record is from RNAcentral.